CCUUCAUCGGGCCCUGGUGGAAUAAUAUUGCGACGAGGGGGACGGCCGUAUGCUAUAACGCCGCGUGAAUGCUGAACUGAUAUGGAUCGAAAGCUCUACGAUUUGGGACUCGAAUCACGGAUACGGAACAGCUUGGGACGGCUAAAUACCUGCCGGCAGCAGGAGUACUCCGUAGGACGCAAGCAAUGUCCGCAAUUAAGGGCAGUUACCGGGGAGA
RNAcentral lists this ribosomal RNA (217 nucleotides) under uncultured Clostridium sp. RNAcentral's name for it is "partial 16S ribosomal RNA". The record is from RNAcentral. Lineage: Bacteria; Bacillati; Bacillota; Clostridia; Eubacteriales; Clostridiaceae.